This 492-nucleotide ribosomal RNA is filed under the name uncultured bacterium. RNAcentral describes it as "partial 16S ribosomal RNA". It matches the Rfam family "Bacterial small subunit ribosomal RNA", at positions 30 to 507 of the family's 1533-position model. The record is from RNAcentral.
AGUGAACGCUGGCGGUAGGCCUAACACAUGCAAGUAGAACGGCAGCACAGUAAGAGCUUGCUCUUACGGGUGGCGAGUGGCGGACGGGUGAGGAAUACAUCGGAAUCUACUUUUUCGUGGGGGAUAACGUAGGGAAACUUACGCUAAUACCGCAUACGACCUACGGGUGAAAGCAGGGGAUCUUCGGACCUUGCGCGAUUGAAUGAGCCGAUGUCGGAUUAGCUAGUUGGCGGGGUAAAGGCCCACCAAGGCGACGAUCCGUAGCUGGUCUGAGAGGAUGGGUGGCCACUGGUGGAGAGUGAAGAGGUCAGGACUCCGACGGGAGGCAGCGAGGGGGAAUGGUGGACAAUGGGCGCAAGCGUGAAACAGCCGUGUGGCGUGGAUGAAGAAGGCCUUCGGGUUGUCAAGCCGUUUUGUUGGGAAAGAAAGACAGCGGGUUAAUACACCGCUGUUCUGACGGUACGGAAAGAAUAAGCACCGGCUAACUUCGUG